This 240-nucleotide unclassified non-coding RNA is filed under the name soil metagenome. RNAcentral describes it as "partial contains 5.8S ribosomal RNA, internal transcribed spacer 2, and large subunit ribosomal RNA". The record is from RNAcentral.
AACCAUUCUCACCUGCGGCUAGACCUGCGGAAGGAUCAUUAAUGAAUAAACUUGGUCAAGCUGUUGCUGGUCUCUCGAGACAUGUGCACGCUUGCCACCAACUUUAACCACCUGUGCACCUUUUGUAGACUGGAAACGUUUCUCGAGGCAACUCGGAUUGAGAACUGUUGCGCGCAAGCCAGCUGUUCUUGAGUUUCUCAGUCUAUGUUUUCAUAUACUCCUAAUGUAUGUAAUCGAAUG